This 214-nucleotide long non-coding RNA is filed under the name Solanum tuberosum (potato). RNAcentral's name for it is "long non-coding RNA (STUB_LNC009229)". The record is from RNAcentral. Lineage: Eukaryota; Viridiplantae; Streptophyta; Magnoliopsida; Solanales; Solanaceae.
GGGCUAUUUCAUUCUUCUAAGUCAUCAAGAAUCGUGAUUGAGUUCAAAGGUUAGUUUUUUCUUGAUUUUAUUUUGUUUUUUUGUUGUUGUUAUACUUAGAUUUUGUAGGGUUCAUGAUAUGUUGUUAAAUAUUGGUUUCGAUCUUUGAGUGAAAUGUCACUUUAUGCUUAUUUAUUAGGGUUUAUGUUAUGGUACUGUUAGAUAUCAAACUUCG